This 491-nucleotide ribosomal RNA is filed under the name uncultured bacterium. Its description in RNAcentral is "partial 16S ribosomal RNA". The stretch from base 51 to 491 matches the Rfam family "Bacterial small subunit ribosomal RNA", at positions 39 to 507 of the family's 1533-position model. The record is from RNAcentral.
GGGGGGGGGGGGGGGGGGGGGGGGGGGGGCGAGUGGGGGGGUCGCGGGGGUUGGGGUGCUGACGCGGGGGGAACGGGGGAGUAGUGGGUGGGAACGUACGCAGAGGGGGGGGAUAACGCGGCGCAAGCUGUGGUACUAGCGCAUGUGAUCUGAGGAUGGAAGCGGGGGACCGAGCAGCCAUGUUUGUCCGCGGGCGUUGGGCGCGGCCUAUGUCGGAUUAGCUAGGUGGUGGGGUAAUGGCCGCCCCAGUCGAGGAUCCGUAGCUGGUCUGAGAGGACGACCAGCCCCACUGGGACUGAGACACGGCCCAGACUCCUAAGGGAGGCAGCAGUGGGGAAUUUUGGACAAUGGGCGCAAGCCUGAUCCAGCAAUGCCGCGUGCGGGAAGAAGGCCUUCGGGUUGUAAACCGCUUUGGGCAGGAACGAAAAGGUGUCCGCUAAUACCGGGCGCUAAGGACGGUACCUGCAGAAUAAGCACCGGCUAACUACGUG